Molecule: ribosomal RNA, 162 nt
Filed under: Triticum aestivum (bread wheat)
Lineage: Eukaryota; Viridiplantae; Streptophyta; Magnoliopsida; Poales; Poaceae
Description: partial small subunit ribosomal RNA
Source: RNAcentral
AUGGAGGAUUCCAUUAUUUGGAAGUUCACCAAGGACGGUAUGUAUUCUUCCUGCUCGGCUUAUAAGGCGCAAUUCGAGGGCCUUACUACGUCGGACAUGGUCCAUUCGGUGUGGAAGGUGUGGGCUCCUUCGAGGUGCAAAUUUUUCGCUUGGUCAAAAUAG